UCGGGUGACUAACGCGUGAGUGAUCUACCUCUGAGUGGGGGAUAACGUUCCGAAAGGAGCGCUAAUACCGCAUGACGUUCUGGGUUUGAAGACCUGGAAACCAAAGUCGGGGACCGCAAGGCCUGGCGCUUGGAGAGGAGCCCGCGCCUGAUUAGCUAGUUGGUGAGGUAAUGGCUCACCAAGGCGACGAUCAGUAGCCGGCCUGAGAGGGCGGACGGCCACACUGGGACUGAGACACGGCCCAGACUCCUACGGGAGGCAGCAGUGGGGAAUUGUUCGCAAUGGGCGCAAGCCUGACGACGCAACGCCGCGUGGAGGAUGAAGGUCUUCGGAUUGUAAACUCCUGUUGACCGGGAAGAAUGGGUCCCGACCUAACACGUCGGGGCAGUGACGGUACCGGUUGAGGAAGCCACGGCUAACUCUGUGCCAGCAGCCGCGGUAAUACAGAGGUGGCAAGCGUUGUUCGGAAUUACUGGGCGUAAAGGGCGCGUAGGCGGCCUUCUAAGUCGGACGUGAAAUCCCCCAGGCUUACUUGGGAACUGCGUCUGAUACUGGAAGGCUUGAUUGCGGGAGAGGGAUGUGGAAUUCCAGGUGUAGCGGUGGAAUGCGUAGAA
This 614-nucleotide ribosomal RNA is filed under the name uncultured Acidobacteriota bacterium. RNAcentral's name for it is "bacterial SSU rRNA". It matches the Rfam family "Bacterial small subunit ribosomal RNA", at positions 100 to 695 of the family's 1533-position model. Lineage: Bacteria; Pseudomonadati; Acidobacteriota. The record is from RNAcentral.